RNAcentral lists this ribosomal RNA (200 nucleotides) under uncultured bacterium. Its description in RNAcentral is "partial 16S ribosomal RNA". It matches the Rfam family "Bacterial small subunit ribosomal RNA", at positions 29 to 218 of the family's 1533-position model. The record is from RNAcentral.
AGCGAACGCUGGCGGCGUGCUUAACACAUGCAAGUCGAACGUGAACGGAGCAAUCCUAGUAAAGUGGCGUACGGGUGAGUAACACGUAGAUAAUCUACCCUAGAGUUCGGAAUAACCUGCCGAAAGGCGGGCUAAUACUGGAUAGAGCGACGGAAGCCGUAAAUGGUUUUUUCGGGAAAGGGAGCUUGAUAAGAGCCCUC